RNAcentral lists this small RNA (77 nucleotides) under Xanthomonas phaseoli pv. phaseoli. RNAcentral describes it as "sX9". It matches the Rfam family "Xanthomonas sRNA sX9". Lineage: Bacteria; Pseudomonadati; Pseudomonadota; Gammaproteobacteria; Lysobacterales; Lysobacteraceae. The record is from RNAcentral.
AUGUACCACUUGUACAUGGCGGUUUCUCCGCGCCGUCCGCACCCCACCUGGCGACUGCUCGCGACGUUUCGUUAGCC